RNAcentral lists this ribosomal RNA (407 nucleotides) under Cyclaulacidea sp. Its description in RNAcentral is "partial 16S ribosomal RNA". Lineage: Eukaryota; Metazoa; Arthropoda; Insecta; Hymenoptera; Braconidae. The record is from RNAcentral.
GUCUUAAUGAAUUAUAUAUUAAGUCUAAUCUGCCCACUGAAAUUUUAAAUGGCUGCAGUAUUAAUAACUGUACAAAGGUAGCAUAAUAAUUUGUUUUUUAAUUGAAAACUAGUAUGAAAGAUUGAAUGAGAUAUAAACUGUUUCAAUUAAUAGUAUUAAAUUUUUUAUUUGAGUAAAAAAACUUAAAUAAAUUUUAAAGACGAUAAGACCCUAUAGAAUUUGAUUUUUAUUUAUUUAUUUUAAAUAAUUAAAAAUUUAGUUGGGGUAAUAGAAAAAUUUAAAUAAUUUUUUUUUAAAAAAAUAUUUAUAAAUAGAUAAAAUAUCUUAAUUAUGAAUUAGAAAAAUUAAUUACCUUAGGGAUAACAGCAUAAUUUUUUUUGAAAGAUCAUAUUGAUAGAAAAGAUUAU